AUGCUUACCAAAGACAACCUUAUUAAAAGGAAUUGGCAUGCAAGUGUGCAAUGUGUUUUCUGUCAGCAUAACGAAACAAUAAAACAUUUAUUCUUACAAUGUAAAUUAGCUCGUUCUGUAUGGUCAAUCAUCCAAAUAGCUUCUGGCUUGUAUCCUUCAUGUAGCGUUGCUAACAUUUUUGGCAACUGGUUACAUGGGAUUGAUUACAGGUUUAGAAUUCUUAUCAGGGUGGAAGUGCUUGCCAUUAUUUGGUCGCUUUGGCUGUGUAGAAAUGAUAAGGUGUUCAACAACAAAAGUAUUUCUUUUAUGCAGGUUAUCUACAGGUAUACCAGUAUGCUCCGUUUACGGUUGUCUCUGCAACGUGUGCAGAAUCAAGACCUAUUUACGGAGAUGUGUACAUGCUUGGAGGGUACGGCCAGGGAUACUUUUACCCAACAUGGAUGA
This 444-nucleotide ribosomal RNA is filed under the name Triticum aestivum (bread wheat). RNAcentral's name for it is "partial small subunit ribosomal RNA". Lineage: Eukaryota; Viridiplantae; Streptophyta; Magnoliopsida; Poales; Poaceae. The record is from RNAcentral.